RNAcentral lists this ribosomal RNA (508 nucleotides) under uncultured bacterium. Its description in RNAcentral is "bacterial SSU rRNA". It matches the Rfam family "Bacterial small subunit ribosomal RNA", at positions 36 to 507 of the family's 1533-position model. The record is from RNAcentral.
CGGUCUACGAGUAGUUACGGAACCGUCGGUCGGGCGACAGUCGUCGUACACAUGCAAGUCGAACGGCAGCACGGGAGCAAUCCUGGUGGCGAGUGGCGAACGGGUGAGUAAUAUAUCGGAACGUGCCCAGUCGUGGGGGAUAACGUAGCGAAAGCUACGCUAAUACCGCAUACGAUCUACGGAUGAAAGCGGGGGAUCGCAAGACCUCGCGCGAUUGGAGCGGCCGAUAUCAGAUUAGCUAGUUGGUGGGGUAAAAGCUCACCAAGGCGACGAUCUGUAGCUGGUCUGAGAGGACGACCAGCCACACUGGAACUGAGACACGGUCCAGACUCCUACGGGAGGCAGCAGUGGGGAAUUUUGGACAAUGGGCGCAAGCCUGAUCCAGCAAUGCCGCGUGCAGGAUGAAGGCCUUCGGGUUGUAAACUGCUUUUGUACGGAACGAAACGGUGAGCUCUAAUAAAGCUUGCUAAUGACGGUACCGUAAGAAUAAGCACCGGCUAACUACGUG